Aspergillus wentii DTO 134E9 is the source of this 135-nucleotide transfer RNA. It matches the Rfam family "tRNA". From Rfam's summary of the family: Transfer RNA (tRNA) molecules are approximately 80 nucleotides in length. Their secondary structure includes four short double-helical elements and three loops (D, anti-codon, and T loops). NCBI's taxonomy places the organism in Eukaryota, Fungi, Ascomycota, Eurotiomycetes, Eurotiales, Aspergillaceae. The record is from Rfam.
GCCUCUAUAGCUCAGUGGUAGAGCGCUUGACGUACGUAACCAAUUACAUUAUUAUUAUUGAAUUUACCCGCUAACAAUUAAACAGUUGUAUUCUCUGAUAUCAAGAGGUCCGUGGUUCAAUCCCGCGUGGAGGCA